This 301-nucleotide ribosomal RNA is filed under the name uncultured bacterium. RNAcentral describes it as "partial 16S ribosomal RNA". It matches the Rfam family "Bacterial small subunit ribosomal RNA", at positions 509 to 807 of the family's 1533-position model. The record is from RNAcentral.
CAGUAGCCGCGGUAAUACAGAGGGUGCGAGCGUUAAUCGGAUUUACUGGGCGUAAAGCGUGCGUAGGUGGUGGUUUAAGUCCGUUGUGAAAGCCCUGGGCUCAACCUGGGAAUUGCAGUGGAUACUGGGUCACUAGAGUGUGGUAGAGGAUAGUGGAAUUUCCGGUGUAGCAGUGAAAUGCGUAGAGAUCGGAAGGAACAUCUGUGGCGAAGGCGACUAUCUGGGCCAACACUGACACUGAGGCACGAAAGCGUGGGGAGCAAACAGGAUUAGAUACCCCAGUAGUCCCUGUCUCUUAUAC